UGCGUAGGGGGCAAGCGUUAUCCGGAUUUACUGGGUGUAAAGGGGGUGUAGGCGGAGCUGCAAGUCAGAUGUGAAAUCCCGGGGCUCAACCCCGGAACUGCAUUUGAAACUGUAGCCCUUGAGUAUCGGAGAGGCAGGCGGAAUUCCUAGUGUAGCGGUGAAAUGCGUAGAUAUUAGGAGGAACACCAGUGGCGAAGGCGGCCUGCUGGACGACAACUGACGCUGAGGCGCGAAAGCGUGGGGAGCAAACAGG
This 253-nucleotide ribosomal RNA is filed under the name uncultured bacterium. Its description in RNAcentral is "partial 16S ribosomal RNA". It matches the Rfam family "Bacterial small subunit ribosomal RNA", at positions 524 to 776 of the family's 1533-position model. The record is from RNAcentral.